This 549-nucleotide ribosomal RNA is filed under the name uncultured fungus. RNAcentral describes it as "eukaryotic LSU rRNA". The stretch from base 191 to 344 matches the Rfam family "5.8S ribosomal RNA". The record is from RNAcentral. Lineage: Eukaryota; Fungi.
GUAAAAGUCGUAACCAAGGUUUCCGUAGGUGAACCUGCGGAAGGAUCAUUACCUAGAGUUGUAGGCUUUGCCUGCUAUCUCUUACCCAUGUCUUUUGAGUACUUACGUUUCCUCGGCGGGUCCGCCCGCCGAUUGGACAAUUUAAACCAUUUGCAGUUGCAAUCAGCGUCUGAAAAACUUUAAUAGUUACAACUUUCAACAACGGAUCUCUUGGUUCUGGCAUCGAUGAAGAACGCAGCGAAAUGCGAUAAGUAGUGUGAAUUGCAGAAUUCAGUGAAUCAUCGAAUCUUUGAACGCACAUUGCGCCCCUUGGUAUUCCAUGGGGCAUGCCUGUUCGAGCGUCAUUUGUACCUUCAAGCUUUGCUUGGUGUUGGGUGUUUGUCUCGCCUCUGCGUGUAGACUCGCCUUAAAACAAUUGGCAGCCGGCGUAUUGAUUUCGGAGCGCAGUACAUCUCGCGCUUUGCACUCAUAACGACGACGUCCAAAAGUACAUUUUUACACUCUUGACCUCGGAUCAGGUAGGGAUACCCGCUGAACUUAAGCAUAUCA